Molecule: ribosomal RNA, 253 nt
Filed under: uncultured bacterium
Lineage: Bacteria
Description: partial 16S ribosomal RNA
Rfam family: Bacterial small subunit ribosomal RNA
Source: RNAcentral
UACGUAGGGUGCGAGCGUUAAUCGGAAUUACUGGGCGUAAAGCGUGCGCAGGCGGUUUGCUAAGACAGGUGUGAAAUCCCCGGGCUUAACCUGGGAACUGCGCUUGUAACUGGCAAGCUAGAGUGUGGCAGAGGGGGGUGGAAUUCCACGUGUAGCAGUGAAAUGCGUAGAGAUGUGGAGGAACACCGAUGGCGAAGGCAGCCCCCUGGGCUAACACUGACGCUCAUGCACGAAAGCGUGGGGAGCAAACAGG